ACCCAGAUCAAUACUGCACUAAGUCAAAAAAUCCCCGAAUCGACUUAUUUAUAUAGUUAAAUAGGCAUUUUUUUCCCGCACAUACCACAAAGACAGCCAUAUCUUUAUUUGCUAAAACAGCCAACAGAUGUCGUGCUAAGUCUCUUUUGGUGAAUGAAUAACUGCCUAGUCGUACCACGAAUAAGAAUCUAAUUCGAGUUGCAACUUGUUCCUUUAUAGAAGCAGCAUAUAGUGACGUUACGUAACAGUGAAUUAUUUUGUAAUGGUUAAGUAUUGUUGAAUGAAGUAGAAAAUUACUCCGAAUUAUUUAGAUUUAAUGCAGUGUUGGUGAAUUUCCUGCUUCUGCUGUUUUGAUAGUAUUUCUAAAUAAUACUGUAUUGGUGACGAGGAUGAUGAAGGGUCGGGGUCUAUUGUUGCUUGAAAAGGCAUUGGAAGCAACGGCAAUCGAGGCUGCGUCAACCACUUCACAAAGAAAAAUAGAAAUUUGUGUUGAAAAUGAAGCAAAAAUUUAGAUGCAUCACCAUCAUCAAUCGUGGUAUCACCAGUUACAUGAUUAACUAUCACGGUAUCACCCGUUGCAGCAUCAGCUCUCGAGGUAUCAUCUAUUGUAGCUUCAAAUAAGUCUUUGACACCCGAAAAGAGUAAUGAAAGAGAUUUUAUAGAUGAUUCGGAUCGGAACGGAUCCUACUUUUUCUAUCCG
Long non-coding RNA from Pieris rapae (cabbage white), 700 nucleotides. RefSeq lists it as uncharacterized. NCBI's taxonomy places the organism in Eukaryota, Metazoa, Arthropoda, Insecta, Lepidoptera, Pieridae. The record is from RefSeq and is a predicted model, not a curated record. The transcript is spliced from 2 exons.